GUUGGUUGAUGGAUCUCAUUUUAUUUUAUGAAGUGUUUUGUGGCGAAUGGGGGCUCCUGCAUGACUUCGAUCUGGUAGCCUCCCGUCUCUUCCUCUUCGUAUCUCUAUCUCUUCCUAUCCGCCAGGAGGUCUUCUCUCAGGAUUUGUUUCAUUGGGCCAAUAAGAAUUUUCCUAAAGUCAUUAUUUUUGUUGUUCGGUUAUCUGAUUCAAUAUGUUUUAAUAAAGUUGGAAUUAAUUUUGUCCAAUUUAAGGGCCAUAAUGGAUGGUUUUGUCACGUGAAGAGCGUCACGAAAUAUGCCAAAUUUAAAAUCAUGAGUCAUUCAUGAAAUCAGAUUGAAAAAUUUAUGUGGAGAUGACAUGAAAAAGAGAGUCGCGAUUUCUUUUACAUCCGAAGGUGUAAUCUUCCUGGUGAAGGAGAAAACUUGCGCGGCGGAGGGGUCUUUACAGGAGGAGAAGAUGGGCGUUGGUUGGUGGUGGGGGUGGGCUCAGACGAGGGGGGAGCCGGUGACGAACUCGGUGAAGGCGAGGGCGACAANNNN
Molecule: long non-coding RNA, 539 nt
Filed under: Spirodela polyrhiza (greater duckweed)
Lineage: Eukaryota; Viridiplantae; Streptophyta; Magnoliopsida; Alismatales; Araceae
Description: long non-coding RNA (SPOL_LNC001207)
Source: RNAcentral